Molecule: unclassified non-coding RNA, 363 nt
Filed under: uncultured bacterium
Lineage: Bacteria
Description: contains 16S-23S intergenic spacer region
Source: RNAcentral
UCCCCGUUACCGAGGCAGUCUAUUCAGAAAAAUUCAACUGAAUAUAAGGGUUGCGCUCGUUGAUGGACUUAACCAAACAUCUCACGACACGAGCUGACGACGGCCAUGCAUCACCUGUCACCUGAUUCCCGAAGGCACAGUCUCCUUUCAGAGACCUUCCAGGGAUGUCAAGCCUUGGUAAGGUUCUUCGCUUAUCAUCGAAUUAAACAACACGCUCCACCGCUUGUGCGGGUCCCCGUCAAUUCCUUUAUGUUUUAAGCUUGCGCUCGUACUCCACAGGCGGGAUGCUUAACGCGUUAGCUUCGCUACUACCAGGGUCGAUACUGGUAACAGCUAGCAUCCAUCGUUUACGGCGUGGACUAC